This 210-nucleotide long non-coding RNA is filed under the name Mytilus galloprovincialis (Mediterranean mussel). The record is from RNAcentral. Lineage: Eukaryota; Metazoa; Mollusca; Bivalvia; Mytilida; Mytilidae.
AACUUUUUACUCUUUCAACUUCUUUUCGGGAACCACGUAGAUGGAUCAAUAUAUGAAUCUGUUAUUUUUCUCUACUGUUGAAGCAUAUGAUAAAAGGAUCAUAACAUGUCAUUUUUCAUAUCGCAUGUAUUAUCAGCCCUCGGACAAUAUCAGCCCUCGAGCCAUGCGGCUCUUGGGCUGAUAUUGAACCUAGGGCUGAUAAUACAUGCG